AUUGAACGCUGGCGGCAUGCCUUACACAUGCAAGUCGAACGGUAACGGGCCUUCGGGUGCCGACGAGUGGCGCACGGGUGAGUAAUACAUCGGAACGUGCCCGAUCGUGGGGGAUAACGAGGCGAAAGCUUUGCUAAUACCGCAUACGAUCUACGGAUGAAAGCAGGGGACCGCAAGGCCUUGCGCGGACGGAGCGGCCGAUGGCAGAUUAGGUAGUUGGUGGGAUAAAAGCUUACCAAGCCGACGAUCUGUAGCUGGUCUGAGAGGAUGAUCAGCCACGCUGGGACUGAGACACGGCCCAGACUCCUACGGGAGGCAGCAGUGGGGAAUUUUGGACAAUGGGCGCAAGCCUGAUCCAGCCAUGCCGCGUGCAGGAUGAAGGCCUUCGGGUUGUAAACUGCUUUUGUACGGAACGAAAAGCCUUCUUUUAAUACAGGAGGGUCAUGACGGUACCGGAAGAAAAAGCACCGGCUAACUACGUG
Molecule: ribosomal RNA, 482 nt
Filed under: uncultured bacterium
Lineage: Bacteria
Description: partial 16S ribosomal RNA
Rfam family: Bacterial small subunit ribosomal RNA
Source: RNAcentral